Dendroctonus ponderosae (mountain pine beetle) is the source of this 1539-nucleotide long non-coding RNA. RefSeq lists it as uncharacterized. Lineage: Eukaryota; Metazoa; Arthropoda; Insecta; Coleoptera; Curculionidae. The transcript is spliced from 2 exons. The record is from RefSeq and is a predicted model, not a curated record.
ACGGGGCAACACUGUAACGGGAAAUGCAACGCGCAGAUUGGUUGGCGCAAUAGUGUAGCCAAGGAAACCCCGAACACAAAUGUCAAAGCGGCCUGUCAGAAGCGAGCAACCGUUUUCAACAGAUGGUUUUGUGAUUUUUUUUUAAACCAAAAAUGUAGAAAAAACAAGAAUAAAACACAUUUCUUGAGGGAGUUUGAUGGGAAGUCCUCAUAAGAACUUCAUGCGCGCAUCAGGUAAGCCCAUAUUCCGUCAAAUACUUGCCGAAAUGUCCGGUUUGGAUUUUGAUGCUGUCUUUGAACACGCAAAAUGCAAAUUUUGCCCUUUCUAAACACGAUUAAUACACGCAAUGAUUACUAAAAAAUAAAAUUUAAAAGUCUGUGAAAAUGUUCCGUAUAAUACAGUUCAGUAUAGUACAUACUGUUCUACAUAUUGAUUGAAACAUAAAAAAUAUACUGGGUCACCCAAUGGAGGCAGCGCUGCGGCCCCGAGUUUUGCAGUUGUUGCGCUAAAAAACGUAAAACGCUCGAAAACGUGAUUUUUUUAUUUAAGAUUGACAACUUUUUGUUGCGGUACUUUCAACACUCUAACUUCAACCACUAGGCGAGAUUGUAGUUAUCCCCAACAUUUCUAAUAGGAUGAUGCUGAAUAAGUCGAUGAUGUCUUAUUUUCAAGAUAUUUUAAUCCCAUUUAGAAACCUACUUAAAUAUAAACGUUUCAAUGAUACGAUGUUGCAUCGGUACAAAAGAGUCAAGAACAAAGAGAAAAAAUCAUUCAAUAAGUCCCCAAAUAACUGAAUCAAGAAAGGAGGAAAAUGAGGGAUCGCCAGCUCAGAAAUGAACGAAAACAUUAAAAACAAGAAUCCAAAACUUACAACCAAAGCGAGAUGGCCAAACUAUAGAGAAUAAUAAAUGCUUGAAAGUUGAAUCAUUAUACAAGACUAACAGAGAGAAAAGGGCAAAUGAAGAUUCAUCUGAAGCACCUCUGAAGGGGCAUGCAUGCGAAACGCGAAUUUUUUUUUCAGCUUGCACUCCUUUCAAUGCCCGAAAAAUUUACCAGUUUUGGGGGCGAAGUUCUAGCGAUUUUUCACUUUGUAAUGAUUUUUUGCUCCAAAUCCAUGGAAAAAAUCCCCGAAACCCAUCGAUCAACAGUAGGAAAUAAUUAGAAAUUCCGAUAAAUGUACGCUACUGCUGUAGCCGGCCCCCCUGAAGUUCAGCCAGGUUUCACGGGCCACGAGGACAUCGUCCCGGAGGUCUAAACCUCGUUUCUUCCCAGCAUUUCCUGGACAAAUCCAGCUGGAUUUGUCCCUUAAUCUACCCUCCAACCAUGCCAGACUUACCGAAAUUCCUGCAGUCAGAAAGUGGUCACUCUCGCUGAACGAUGCGAAAUGAACCAGUAGAGAGCAAAAGUGAGCCAUUGGCGUGCAGACGAAAAUUUUGGAAAUUUAUCCAGAGAUAACAGUGUUUACUUGGCGCCUUUAUACGUGCAAAAAUUAGUGUUAUCUAAUUGCAAUUAGCAAAUAUGGAGCUUGAGUUAAAAUUA